RNAcentral lists this small nuclear RNA (107 nucleotides) under Chinchilla lanigera (long-tailed chinchilla). The record is from RNAcentral. Lineage: Eukaryota; Metazoa; Chordata; Mammalia; Rodentia; Chinchillidae.
UUGCUUGCUUUGACAGCGUAUAUACUAAAAUUGGAACCAUACAGAGAAGAUUAGCAUGGCCCCUGUGGAAGGAUGACAUGCAAAUUUGUGAAGCGUUCCAUAUUUUU